CCCAUAGUAACUGCGAGUGAAAUGGGAAGAGCCCAGCGCUGAAUCCGAGGGUCGGCAACGGCCCUUGGAGCUGUAGCGUGAAGGUGGUCCUAAUUCGUGCGGCUGGUUGGCGUAAGUUCUCCUGAGUGAGGCUCCAUGCCAUGGAGGGUGCAAGCCCCGUAUCGCCGGCAGUCUGUGCGAAUAUAAGGCUACCAGAGAGUCGCCUUGUUUGCGAGUACAAGGUGAAGUCGGUGGUAAACGCCAUCGAAGGCUAAAUAUGACCACGAGUCCGAUAGCGAACAAGUACAGUGAUGGAAAAUUGAAAAGAACUUUGAAGAGAGAGUGAAACAGUGCGUGAAACCGCUCAGAGGCAAGCAGAUGGGGCCUCGAAGGCAGAGCAGCGAAUUCAGUUGGUAGUCCGUGAGGCUGGCGGGAUGUGAGAUUGCAAAACUCUGCCCGUUGGCAUGCAGCGGCUGCUGAUGCACUUUCGCUGUUCGUACGCCUCCGCCGUUGACGCUUAGCAUCCGCCUGGCUUGCAUUGUGGAGCCUAACUCUUUCGGGAGUUGGUGUCUCACGGCGAGUUUUGGCGCGUUUGUUCGUCAACCGGUCAAGUCAGCAUGUGCCAGCGUAAGCGUUGGGUUUAGCGCUCUGUUGCGGUGUGGUGGAUGACGGUCGCAAGACCGGCUCUGCCCUCCGUGAUUGACCCGCAAAGACUUUCAACGUGGUGCAUUGUAGAUUCGGAGGCGAGUANNNNNNNNNNNNNNNNNNNNNNNNNNNNNNNNNCCAAGGAGUUCAACAUGCACGCUAGUUGUUGGGUGAGAAAUGACCCGCUAGCGGAGUGAAAGCAAGUCACGGCUUUGCCGUGUAUUUGGCGAGAUCCCGUCACUUGGUCGUGUCAAAGCGAUCAAGCCGGGCGCAUCGCCGGCACAUCAUGAGCUCACGUGGCUGUGGUGUAGCUUGAGCGUGCGCGUUGAGACCCGAAAGAUGGUGAACUAUGCCUGGACAGGAUGAAGCCAGGGGAAACUCUGGUGGAGGUCCGUAGCGAUUCUGACGUGCAAAUCGAUCGUCUGAUCUGGGUAUAGGGGCGAAAGACUAAUCGAACCAUCUAGUAGCUGGUUCCCUCCGAAGUUUCCCUCAGGAUAGCUGGCACUCGGAGAACGUAGUCUCUCCCGAUAAAGCGAAUGAUUAGAGGUCUUGGGGUCGAAACGACCUCAACCUAUUCUCAAACUUUGAAUGGGUGAGAAGUCCGGCUUGCUUAAAUGCGAAGCUGAAGUCCGGACGUUGGAUACGAGCGCCUAGUGGGCCACUUUUG
Molecule: ribosomal RNA, 1291 nt
Filed under: Isohypsibius sp. Tar194
Lineage: Eukaryota; Metazoa; Tardigrada; Eutardigrada; Parachela; Isohypsibiidae
Description: partial 28S ribosomal RNA
Rfam family: Eukaryotic large subunit ribosomal RNA
Source: RNAcentral